This 613-nucleotide ribosomal RNA is filed under the name uncultured bacterium. Its description in RNAcentral is "bacterial SSU rRNA". The stretch from base 1 to 518 matches the Rfam family "Bacterial small subunit ribosomal RNA", at positions 338 to 873 of the family's 1533-position model. The record is from RNAcentral.
CCUACGGGAGGCAGCAGUGGGGAAUCUUGCGCAAUGGGCGAAAGCCUGACGCAGCCACGCCGCGUGCGGGAUGAAGGCCCUAGGGUUGUAAACCGCUUUUAACAGGAACGAAAAUGACGGUACCUGUAGAAUAAGGUGCGGCCAACUACGUGCCAGCAGCCGCGGUGACACGUAGGCACCAAGCGUUGUCCGGAUUUAUUGGGCGUAAAGAGCUCGUAGGCGGUUCAGUAAGUCGGGUGUGAAAACUCUGGGCUUAACCCAGAGACGCCACUCGAUACUAUUGUGACUAGAGUUCGGUAGGGGAGCGGGGAAUUCCUAGUGUAGCGGUGAAAUGCGCAGAUAUUAGGAGGAACACCGGUGGCGAAGGCGCCGCUCUGGGCCGAUACUGACGCUGAGGAGCGAAAGCGUGGGUAGCAAACAGGAUUAGAUACCCUGGUAGUCCACGCCGUAAACGGUGGGCACUAGGUGUGGGUUCCAACCAACGGAAUCCGCGCCGUCGCUAACGCAUAGUGCCCGCCGUCGGGAGGUACGGCCGGCGAACGGUUAAAACGUACGAAGUAGAAGUAGUACGGCGUGAGACGUGUCCGAACGGACGACGACGAGGGGAGGUAGG